RNAcentral lists this small RNA (373 nucleotides) under Saccharomyces cerevisiae YJM1418. RNAcentral's name for it is "RUF5-2". Lineage: Eukaryota; Fungi; Ascomycota; Saccharomycetes; Saccharomycetales; Saccharomycetaceae. The record is from RNAcentral.
GUACGGUUUGUUUUUGUUAAUAUCUAUUUCGAUGACUUCUAUAUGAUAUUGCACUAACAAGAAGGUAUUAUAAUGCAAUUGAUACAAGACAAGGAGUUAUUUGCUUCUCUUUUAUAUGAUUCUGACAAUCCAUAUUGCGAUGGUAGUCUUUUUUGCUGGAACGGUUCAGCGGAAAAGACGCAUCGCUCUUUUUGCUUCUAGAAGAAAUGCCAGCAAAAGAAUCUCUUGACAGUGACUGACAGCAAAAAUGUCUUUUUCUAACUAGUAACAAGGCUAAGAUAUCAGCCUGAAAUAAAGGGUGGUGAAGUAAUAAUUAAAUCAUCCGUAUAAACCUAUACACAUAUAUGAGGAAAAAAUAAUACAAAAGUGUUUU